This 754-nucleotide ribosomal RNA is filed under the name uncultured Chloroflexota bacterium. RNAcentral's name for it is "bacterial SSU rRNA". It matches the Rfam family "Bacterial small subunit ribosomal RNA", at positions 8 to 796 of the family's 1533-position model. Lineage: Bacteria; Bacillati; Chloroflexota. The record is from RNAcentral.
AGAGUUUGAUCAUGGCUCAGGAUCAACGCUGGCGGCGUGCCUAACGCAUGUAAGUCGAACGCACACCUUUCGAGGUGUGAGUGGCGAACGGCUGAGGAACACGUACGAACCUGCCUGUUUGUGGGGAAUAACGCACCGAAAGGCGUGCUAAUACCGCGUACGCUUGCCGUGGCAAGGAAAGCCCUUCGGGGUGCGGGGAGAGGAGCGCGCGGCCCAUCAGGUAGAUGGCGGGGUAAUGGCCCACCAUGCCGGUGACGGGUCGCUGGUCUGUGAGGAUGACCAGCCAGACUGGGACUGCGACACGGCCCAGACACCUACGGGUGGCAGCAGCAAGGAAUCUUCGGCAAUGGGCGCAAGCCUGACCGAGCAACGCCGCGUGGAGGACGACGGCCUUCGGGUUGUAAACUCCUUUUCUGUGGGAUGAUACGGACAGUACCGCAGGAAUAAGCCCCGGCUAACUCUGUGCCAGCAGCCGCGGUAAUACAGAGGGGGCAAGCGUUGUCCGGACUUACUGGGCGUACAGCGCGCGCAGGUGGUUGGCUAAGUUCGUGGUGACAGCGUGCGGCUCAACCGCACACGGUCCAGGGAGACUGGCUAACUAGAGGCAUCGAGAGGGAAACGGAAUACCCGGUGGAGCGGUGAAAUGCGUAGAGAUCGGGUGGAACACCAGUGGCGAAGGCGGUUUCCUGGCGAUGACCUGACACUGAGGCGCGACAGCGUGGGGAGCAAACGGGAUUAGAUACCCCGGUAGUCC